AAUCCAUAGGUUAAUGAGGCGAACCGGGGGAACUGAAACAUCUAAGUACCCCGAGGAAAAGAAAUCAACCGAGAUUCCCCCAGUAGCGGCGAGCGAACGGGGAGGAGCCCAGAGCCUGAAUCAGCAUGUGUGUUAGUGGAAGCGUCUGGAAAGGCGCGCGAUACAGGGUGACAGCCCCGUACACAAAAGCGCAUGUGCUGUGAGCUCGAUGAGUAGGGCGGGACACGUGGUAUCCUGUCUGAAUAUGGGGGGACCAUCCUCCAAGGCUAAAUACUCCUGACUGACCGAUAGUGAACCAGUACCGUGAGGGAAAGGCGAAAAGAACCCCGGCGAGGGGAGUGAAAAAGAACCUGAAACCGUGUACGUACAAGCAGUGGGAGCACCCUUUGGGGUGUGACUGCGUACCUUUUGUAUAAUGG
This 419-nucleotide ribosomal RNA is filed under the name Salmonella enterica subsp. enterica serovar Havana. RNAcentral's name for it is "partial 23S ribosomal RNA". It matches the Rfam family "Bacterial large subunit ribosomal RNA", at positions 161 to 618 of the family's 2925-position model. Lineage: Bacteria; Pseudomonadati; Pseudomonadota; Gammaproteobacteria; Enterobacterales; Enterobacteriaceae. The record is from RNAcentral.